Molecule: small nucleolar RNA, 107 nt
Organism: Theobroma cacao (cacao)
Lineage: Eukaryota; Viridiplantae; Streptophyta; Magnoliopsida; Malvales; Malvaceae
Rfam family: Plant small nucleolar RNA R71
About the family: R71 is a member of the C/D box family of snoRNAs containing the C (UGAUGA) and D (CUGA) box motifs. Multiple nearly identical copies of this snoRNA have been identified in Arabidopsis, and it is thought to function as a 2'-O-ribose methylation guide for 18S ribosomal RNA.
Source: Rfam
AAUCCAUGGUGAGGACAUCUUCUCAUCAAAUCCUUAUACCUUUCCCAAACCUCAUAUAGUGAUUCAAAAUCAAAUUGUAUGAAAUAAGUGAUAUCAUUCCGCAUCUU